Molecule: long non-coding RNA, 5229 nt
Organism: Bos taurus (domestic cattle)
Lineage: Eukaryota; Metazoa; Chordata; Mammalia; Artiodactyla; Bovidae
Source: Ensembl
CAAAGACCAAGUUAAUUAGCUGAAGGCUGACCUCAGAGGAUACUCAUUAGGCCAAGUGUUUCCAACUGCACAUUGCAAAGUGAUGGAAAUGGACGCCUGAACACCCGAGUUCUGCACUCCUCCGGGUGUUCACCCUCAGCAGGCUCCUCAAAAAUGCAACUGUAGCGGAUAUAACCUCUCAUUUAGGGGUUGUUAUAAACCUUUCUCCAGUCUCAGGCCACAGAUGGUCUACUGAGUUCCACCGAGAAGAAAAAUUUCUGCAGCGCUUGCUCUCCUGGCCCUCAGGUGAAUGAACAUGGUCCAGUAGGCUCACACCACCCUGCUGACCUUGGGCCUUCAUUGCGAGCCACGUGACGCAUGUUUAGGGUGCCUAAGACAUGUAAUGCCUCAGCUUGGGCUAAGGCGGGAGCCUCUCUGCAGGUCUCCAGUGUGCUGCCCAGGAAUGCUCAUCACCAUCUCAGAAUCCAAAGUGGACAUAUUUAUAGUGUCUCCUGACUUUGAAAGGAGUUAAGAGCAGAGAGCAGAAAAUAGUUGGUCUGAAUGGGAAAUGAAAAUCAAAUAUUCUCUUAUUCUAAAGGGCACUGUGAACAAGAAUUAAUAAUGUAAGAUGCAAGACAUGCUAUAUAGCACUCUGAAAAAAUAUGAUGCCUACGUAUUUAGUUUAAGGCAAAAUGGCCUCGAACCCAGCCCCGGAGAGACAGCAGUGAACAGAACAGCAACCCCAGCCCCAGGGAGUUUACCUUCUCUGAAGGGAGACAGGAAAUAACAGAUAAGGAUCUCCAGAGACUCUGCUUCUGUGAGGCCACCUAAACUAUGAUCCCAUAAAAUUAAAAUGAUGAGAUGGAAAACCACAGAAAGCACCACACACCUGGCAGCUGAGCGGAACUUUGUGUUGCCAAAGGGGCCCAGGCCUGGGCUUCUGCCAUGUGAUUCCCUGCCCACCUUCUACCCAGAGGGGACUGCUAAUUUUUAAAAAUAGGUUUAAUACAGUCGUACACUCUAAUGUACUCUGUACUAUCUUCUUCCUGUGGGUGCACUUUUCAACUGUUACAAGAAGUUCAGUCCCUUGUGAAGCAUGAGUUUGUAAAGAUUUAUAUCAGUUUUGUUGUCUCUGUUAAUUUUAACCAAGUGGUGUAUCCUGAUAUAUGAUAUGAAUUUAGAGUUAGUAGAUCUCAUUUCUGGAGAAGGAAAUGGCAACCCACUCCAGUGUUCUUGCCUGGAGAAUCCCAGGGAUGGGGGAGCCUGGUGGGCUGCCGUCUAUGGGGUCGCACAGAGUCAGACACGACUGAAGUGACUUAGCAGCAGCAGCAGCAGCAGAUCUCGUUUCAACACUCUAGAGUUUGGAAAGUGUCCCAGAAGCCAGUAAGAAACCAAGCUUCUGCAGAACUGUGGGCAGGUGCUUUCACCUCUGUUUUCUCAUCUGUCACCAGGGCACUACUAUGGCCAUACAAGUCUGUAUACAAGUGUCAUACAAUUUCAAGGAGACUGUUCACAUCGUAACUGAACAACAAAGCGGUCUGUCUGUAACAGGAAGAUAGGAUGCAUCAUCUCAGUCACUCAGUAGUGUCUGACUCUUUGUGACCCCAUGGACUGUAUCCAACCAGGCUCCUCUGUCCAUGGGAUUCUUCAGGCAAGAAUACUGGACUGGGUUGCCAUCGGGCAUCUGUAUUAUGCAUAACCUGGAUCUGUCCAAUGGCAGAGAUGCUUGCUCAACCAUGAAGAUCAAAUUUUCUCCUCCUGGUGCCAGCCCUGCCACUCCUUAAAAGAUUGCAGCCCACCAGGCUCCUCUGUCCAUGGGAUUCUCCAGGCAAGAAUACUGGAAUGGUUGCCAUGCCCUCCUCCAGGAGGUAUUCCUGACCCAGGGAUCAGACCCACGUCUCAUAUCUCCUGCAUUGGCAGGGCAAGAACCUUGACUCUUUAUGGACAUGUCCUAAAUGCCUAGCACAAUGGCUCAUCUAUAACAGACUGUUGGCAUGUGGCAUCUUAGCUCCCCAACAAAGGAUUGUGCCUGCACGCCCUGCAUUGGAAAGUCAAGUCUUAACCACUGGACUGCCAAGGACGUACCUGGAUGCUAUGUUGUUUUUUUUUUUUUUAAUUUUUAUUUUAUUUUUAAACUUUACAUAAUUGUAUUAGUUUUGCCAAAUAUCAAAAUGAAUCCGCCACAGGUAUACAUGUGUUCCCCAUCCUGAACCCUCCUCCCUCCUCCCUCCCCAUACCAUCCCUCUGGGUCGUCCCAGUGCACUAGCCCCAAGCAUCCAGUAUCAUGCAUCGAACCUGGACUGGCAACUCGUUUCAUACAUGGUAUUUUACAUGUUUCAAUGCCAUUCUCCCAAAUCUUCCCACCCUCUCCCUCUCCCGUAGAGUCCAUAAGACUGUUAACAAGCACAUUGGAAACUCUAGGACUCAAGUCUCAGUGAUGUAGGAAUACUUCAGUCUCAUUUUUAUCUGGAUAUACAGUGUUGCUCCAUGUCCUUUGUGAUAGGUUCCAGGACCACUGAAGAAACCAAAAUCCCUCAGAUCCUUAAGUCCCUUAUAUAAAAUGGCACAAUAUUGGCCUAUAACUUACUCACAUCCUCCCAUAUACUUAUCUCUAUGUUACUUAUGUAAUGUAAACACUACGUAAAUAGUUGACUAUAAGGCCAAUUCGAGUUUUGCCUUUUGUAACUUCCUGGAAUUUUUUUCUGAGUAUUUUCUCUCUGUGGUUGGUUGAAUCUGAGGAUAUGAAACCCACAGAUACAGGAGGGCUGACUGUAUUUCCUAUCUAUUAGGUAUAACUGCUCUUUCUCUUAAUGCUGAUUAUUAACUCAAUGCCUCAAAUGCCAAAGUCUUAUUACCUUGCACACAGACCUCUUUUACAAAAAAAUAUUUAUUUAGAUUUAUGUAUUUUUGGCAGCACUAGGUCUUCAUUGCUUUGCACGGGUUGUCUCUAGUUGUGGCGAGCAGGGGCUACUCUCUAGUUGUGGUGCAUGGGCUGCUCAUUGCCGAGGCUUCUUUUGUUGCAGAGCACAGGCUCUAGGUACAUGGGCUCAAUAGUUGUGGCUUAUAGGCUGUAAAGCAAGGGCUCAGUAAUUGUGGUGCACGGGCUUAGUUGCUCGGUAGCGUGUGGGAUCUUCCCAGAUCAUGUACUGAACCUGUGUCCCAUGAAUUGGCAGGUGGAUUCUUAUCCACUGCACCACCAGGGAAGUCCAGAUACAGACCUCUAAUAGAAGUCUGGAAAUCACCUUCAAAUUUACCUAAUUAUCAAAACUUUUUACCACCUGGUCUCCACUCUAGACUUCCAAGUGAUUAACAUUUUUAAUGGUUCCUUGUAAUUGCUCUGAUAUGAUAAUGUAUGCAAGCACAUGUGCAUUCAAAAAUAUUCUUUCUUCUUUCUUUUCAUUCCUGUGUGUUUUGGUCAGAAGAGGAAAUGUUUUAGGAAUGAAGAUAUAAUGAGAAAUUUGAGAAACCACUGAUAUCACUGUGAUGAGCUGUGGUUGAGGGGAACCCAAAAAGAUAACAAGAGUAGUUCUUUCUUUCCAAGUAUGGCCAAAUAAUGAUGAAUGCAUUUACUUAAUUCCCCUUAAAUGAAUCAAGUACCUCUCUUCCAUGGGUAAACUGUGUUAUAUACUGUCUUUUCCUUGUGUUUCUCAAAAGACUACAAUAAAAACAUUCUCCGUAGAGGUUUACUUUAUUAUUAUUAUUUUUGCUGCUUUUUGUGUUAGUUGUACAUACUUCACAUAGUGGUUGAACAUGUAAUAAAGAUAUAUCUUUAUCUUUGAUGACUUGAUGACAUGGCUAUCCCUAUAGCAGAUUGUAUUUAUUCAGAAGGGCUUCCCAGGUGGCUCAGUGAUAAAGAAUCUGCCUGCAAUGCAGGAGACUCCCUGAGUGCAGGAGACAUGGAUUCCAUCCUUGGGUCUGGAAAAUCAACCUGGAGAAGGAAAUGACAACCCAGUGAAGUUUUCUUGCUUGAGAAAUCCCAUGGACAGAGGAGCCUGGGCGGUGGGCUGCAGUCCACGGGGUCCUGAAGAGUCAGACAUGAUUUAGUGACUAAACAACAAUAAUUUAUUCAGAAACUAUGAAGUUGCCUAUUUGAAAUUAUUUCCAGUAAAGUUUGUUAAAAUACAACAGAUCCGUUUGUCAAGCUUCAAUACUCCCCACCCCUCACCCUCCACCUCUGUCUGAGCCAAGUGAAAAAAAAAGUGGAAUUCUUAUGAAGUUUAGUAGAUUCCCAAUAGGGUAAUGCCCUAGGAAAAUAACAAAUGUUAGGCUGCAAAAAUAAUUGUGGUUUUGGUGAACUUUGACGUUUGAUAUUGGAAUACAUUCUUAAAUAUAUUUUAAUGUGCAUUUCUCUAUUUUUUUUUUUGCUAAUGACUUAUUACUUGCUGUGUAUUUUAUAUUUAUUUUAGUCUAGGGAAAUAAUAUUAGACAAAAAGCAAAUUCAAGCAAUUUUCUUAUUUGAGUUCAAAAUGGGUCAUAAAGCAGUGGAGACAACUCGCAACAUCAACAACACAUUUGGCCCAGGAACUGCUAAUGAAUGUACAAUGCAGUAAUGGUUUAAGAAGUUUUGCAAAGGAGAUGAGAGCCUUGAAGAUGAGAAGCAUAGUAGCUGACCAUAGGAAGCUGACAACGAUCAACUGAGAGGCUCAUUGAAGCUGAUCCUCUUAGAACUACAUGAGAAAUUGCCGAAGAACUCAACCUCAACCAUUCUAUGGUUAUUCAGCAUUUGAAGCAAAGUGGAAAGGUGAAAAAGCUCGAUAAGUGGGUGCAUCAUGAGCUGACAAAAAUUUUAAAAAUCAUCAUUUUGAAGUGUCAUUUUCUCUUAUUCUAUGCAAUAGCAACAAACCAUUUCUUGAUUGUUUUAUGACAUACAAUGAAAAGUGGAUUUUAUAUUCAACCACCAACAACCAGCUCAGUGGUUAGACAGAGAAGAAGCCUCAAAGCACUUCCCAAAACCAAACUUGCAUCAAAAAAUUCUUCAAGGAUCUCAAUAACUUUUUGCAAGGAAAAUGCUUCCACAACCGGCAGGAGGCAGAAAAUGUUUAGAGUUUGUCGAAUCCCGAAGUACAGAAUUUUACACUACAAGAAUAAACCAACCCAUUUCUCAUGGGCAAAAAAAUGUGUUGAUUAUAAUGGUUCCUAUUUUGAUUAAUAAAGACGUGUUUGAGCCUAGUUAUAAUGAUUUAAAACUCACGUUCUGAAAUCACAAUUACAUUUGCACCAACCUAAUAGAAUCUGAUGUAUCUAUUUCAG